CAGUCGCCACGGGAAUACGUAGGUGGCAAGCGUUGUCCGGAAUUAUUGGGCGUAAGGGGCUCGCAGGCGGUUUCUUAAGUCUGAUGUGAAAGCCCCCGGCUCAACCGAGGAGGGUCAUUGGAAACUGGGAAACUUGAGUGCAGAAGAGGAGAGUGGAAUUCCACGUGUAGCGGUGAAAUGCGUAGAGAUGUGGAGGAACACCAGUGGCGAAGGCGACUCUCUGGUCUGUAACUGACGCUGAGGAGCGAAAGCGCGGGGAGCGAACAGGAUUAGAUACCCCCGUAGUCCCUGUCUCUUAUAC
Molecule: ribosomal RNA, 301 nt
Filed under: uncultured bacterium
Lineage: Bacteria
Description: partial 16S ribosomal RNA
Rfam family: Bacterial small subunit ribosomal RNA
Source: RNAcentral